AAUAGAUACCCCGGUAGUCCUGGCAGUAAACGGUGCACGUUUGGUGUGGGCGGGUUCAGACCCCGUCCGUGCCGGAGCUAACGCGUUAAACGUGCCGCCUGGGAAGUACGGUCGCAAGAUUAAAACUCAAAGAAAUUGACGGGGGCCCGCACAAGCGGUGGAGUAUGUGGCUUAAUUCGAUGCAACGCGAAGAACCUUACCUGGUCUUGACAUGCAUUGUGUCUCCGGUGAAAGCCGAAUAGUUGGUAGCAAUAUCAACGCUUUGCACAGGUGCUGCAUGGCUGUCGUCAACUCGUGUCGUGAGAUGUUGGGUUAAGUCCCGCAACGAGCGCAACCCCUGUGUCCUGUUGCCCGCAAGGGAUCUCUGGACAGACUGCCCUGUGAAACGGGGAGGAAGGUGGGGAUGACGUCAAGUCAGUAUGGCCCUUACGGCCAGGGCUGCACACGUACUACAAUGCUCAGUACAGAAUGAACCGAACCCGCGAGGCGGAGGAAAUCUCUAAAACUGAGCCCAGUUCGGAUUGGAGU
Molecule: ribosomal RNA, 528 nt
Filed under: uncultured bacterium
Lineage: Bacteria
Description: bacterial SSU rRNA
Rfam family: Bacterial small subunit ribosomal RNA
Source: RNAcentral